Molecule: ribosomal RNA, 492 nt
Filed under: uncultured bacterium
Lineage: Bacteria
Description: partial 16S ribosomal RNA
Rfam family: Bacterial small subunit ribosomal RNA
Source: RNAcentral
AGUGAACGCUGGCGGUAGGCCUAACACAUGCAAGUCGAACGGCAGCACAGUAAGAGCUUGCUCUUACGGGUGACGAGUGGCGGACGGGUGAGGAAUACAUCGGAAUCUACUUUUUCGAGGGGGAUAACGUAGGGAAACUUACGCUAAUACCGCAUUCGACCUACGGGUGAAAGCAGGGGCUCUUCGGACCUUGCGCGAUUGAAUGAGCCGGUGGCGGAUUAGUUAGUUGGCGGGGUAAAGGCCCGCCAAGGCGACGAUCCGUAGCUGGUCUGAGAGGAUGACCAGCCACACUGGGACUGAGACACGGUCCAGAGUCCUACGGGAGGCAGCAGUGGGGAAUAUUGGACAAUGGGGGCAAGCCUGAUCCAGCCAUACCGCGUGGGUGAAGAAGGCCUUCGGGUUGGAAAACCCUUUUGUUGGGGAAGAAAAGCAGCAGGUUAAUACCCCGCUGUUCUGACGGUACCCAAAGAAUAAGCACCGGCUAACUUCGUG